This 84-nucleotide transfer RNA is filed under the name Candidatus Nomurabacteria bacterium. RNAcentral's name for it is "tRNA-Tyr". It matches the Rfam family "tRNA". From Rfam's summary of the family: Transfer RNA (tRNA) molecules are approximately 80 nucleotides in length. Their secondary structure includes four short double-helical elements and three loops (D, anti-codon, and T loops). The record is from RNAcentral. Lineage: Bacteria; Candidatus Nomuraibacteriota. RNAcentral also lists the same sequence under 1 other name.
GCGUCGGUGGCAGAGUGGUCAAUUGCAUCAGACUGUAAAUCUGACGGGCUUCGCCCUACGGGGGUUCAAAUCCCUCCCGGCGCA